AAGCCCCAGUAAACGGCGGCCGUAACUAUAACGGUCCUAAGGUAGCGAAAUUCCUUGUCGGGUAAGUUCCGACCUGCACGAAUGGCAUAAUGAUGGCCAGGCUGUCUCCACCCGAGACUCAGUGAAAUUGAAAUCGCCGUGAAGAUGCGGUGUACCCGCGGCUAGACGGAAAGACCCCGUGAACCUUUACUAUAGCUUGACACUGAACAUUGAAUUUUGAUGUGUAGGAUAGGUGGGAGACUUUGAAGCAGUCACGCCAGUGAUUGUGGAGUCGUCCUUGAAAUACCACCCUUUAACGUUUGAUGUUCUAACGAAGAUUACGAAACGUGGUCUCGGACAGUGUCUGGUGGGUAGUUUGACUGGGGCGGUCUCCUCCCAAAGAGUAACGGAGGAGCACGAAGGUUUGCUAAUGACGGUCGGACAUCGUCAGGUUAGUGCAAUGGUAUAAGCAAGCUUAACUGCGAGACAGACAAGUCGAGCAGGUACGAAAGUAGGUCAUAGUGAUCCGGUGGUUCUGAAUGGAAGGGCCAUCGCUCAACGGAUAAAAGGUACUCCGGGGAUAACAGGCUGAUACCGCCCAAGAGUUCAUAUCGACGGCGGUGUUUGGCACCUCGAUGUCGGCUCAUCACAUCCUGGGGCUGAAGUAGGUCCCAAGGGUAUGGCUGUUCGCCAUUUAAAGUGGUACGCGAGCUGGGUUUAGAACGUCGUGAGACAGUUCGGUCCCUAUCUGCCGUGGGCGUUGGAGAAUUGGUUGGGGCUGCUCCUAGUACGAGAGGACCGGAGUGGACGCACCACUGGUGUUCCGGUUGUGUCGCCAGACGCAUUGCCGGGUAGCUAAGUGCGGAAGAGAUAAGUGCUGAAAGCAUCUAAGCACGAAACUUGCCAAGAGAUGAGUUCUCCCAGAUUUAAAAUCUGUAAGGGUUGUUUAAGACUAAGACGUAGAUAGGCAUGGUGUGUAAGCGGUGCGAGCCGUUGAGCUAACAUGUACUAAUUGCCCGAGAGGCUUAACUAU
This 1012-nucleotide ribosomal RNA is filed under the name human gut metagenome. RNAcentral's name for it is "bacterial LSU rRNA". It matches the Rfam family "Bacterial large subunit ribosomal RNA", at positions 1915 to 2925 of the family's 2925-position model. The record is from RNAcentral.